RNAcentral lists this ribosomal RNA (490 nucleotides) under uncultured bacterium. RNAcentral's name for it is "bacterial SSU rRNA". It matches the Rfam family "Bacterial small subunit ribosomal RNA", at positions 78 to 598 of the family's 1533-position model. The record is from RNAcentral.
GUUUACUACUUGGCGGCGAGCGGCGGACGGCUGAGUAACGCGUGGGAACAUGCCCCAAAGUGAGGGAUAACGCACCGAAAGGUGUGCUAAUACCGCAUAUGGUCUUCGGAUUAAAGGAUUUAUCCGCUUUGGGAGUGGCCCGCGUACGAUUAGAUUGUUGGUGAGGUAAUGGCUCACCAAGUCGACGAUCGUUAACUGGUCUGAGAGGAUGAUCAGUCAGACUGGAACUGAGACACGGUCCAGACUCCUACGGGAGGCAGCAGUAAGGAAUCUUCCACAAUGGGCGAAAGCCUGAUGGAGCAACGCCGCGUGCAGGAUGAAGGCCCUCGGGUCGUAAACUGCUUUUAUGAGUGAAGAAUAUGACGGUAACUCAUGAAUAAGCACCGGCUAACUACGUGCCAGCAGCCGCGGUCAUACGUAGGGUGCAAGCAUUAUCCGGAGUGACUGGGCGUAAAGAGUUGCGUAGGUGGUUUGUUAAGUGAAUGGUGAA